Molecule: unclassified non-coding RNA, 240 nt
Filed under: soil metagenome
Description: partial contains 5.8S ribosomal RNA, internal transcribed spacer 2, and large subunit ribosomal RNA
Source: RNAcentral
AAGACUAUAGACCUGCGGAGUACCUGCGGAAGGAUCAUUAAAAAUGCAGGGGGACUCUUUGGGGUCUCCCACUAUUUUUAUUCUGUGCACCGUUUAAUUUGGGGGGCUGAAUUCAUUUUCGGUCACCCGCCCUGGGUUGGUUCGCUUUCUCCUUUGGGGGAUGGUUCGGCCGCCCAGACAACUAUUAUACUAUUAUGACUGAACCAUAACAGAAAAUUGUUAACAUAUAAACAACUUUCA